This 198-nucleotide ribosomal RNA is filed under the name uncultured bacterium. RNAcentral's name for it is "partial 16S ribosomal RNA". It matches the Rfam family "Bacterial small subunit ribosomal RNA", at positions 328 to 539 of the family's 1533-position model. The record is from RNAcentral.
ACGCUCGACACCUACGGGAGUCAGCAGUGGGGAAUAUUGCACAAUGGGGGAAACCCUGAUGCAGCAACGCCGCGUGAGUGAAGAAGUAUUUCGGUAUGUAAAGCUCUAUCAGCAGGGAAGAUAAUGACGGUACCUGACUAAGAAGCUCCGGCUAAAUACGUGCCAGCAGCCACGGUAAUCUGAGCGGGCUGGCAAGGC